This is a ribosomal RNA of 436 nucleotides. It matches the Rfam family "Bacterial small subunit ribosomal RNA", at positions 341 to 792 of the family's 1533-position model.
ACGGGAGGCAGCAGUGGGGAAUAUUGGGCAAUGGGCGCAAGCCUGACCCAGCGACGCCGCGUGAGGGAAGAAGGUCUUCGGAUUGUAAACCUCUUUCAGCAGGGAAGACCAAGAGACGGUACCUGCAGAAGAAGUCACGGCUAACUACGUGCCAGCAGCCGCGGUAAUACGUAGGUGGCGAGCGUUAUCCGGAAUUACUGGGUGUAAAGGGCGCGUAGGCGGGGAUGCAAAUCAGAUGUGAAAUCCAUGGGCUUAACCCAUGAACUGCAUUUGAAACUGUAUCUCUUGAGUGUCGGAGAGGUAGAUGGAAUUCCUAGUGUAGCGGUGAAAUGCGUAGAUAUUAGGAGGAACACCAGUGGCGAAGGCGAUCUACUGGACGAUAACUGACGCUGAGGCGCGAAAGCGUGGGGAGCAAACAGGAUUAGAUACCCUGGUA